This 539-nucleotide ribosomal RNA is filed under the name uncultured bacterium. RNAcentral describes it as "bacterial SSU rRNA". It matches the Rfam family "Bacterial small subunit ribosomal RNA", at positions 356 to 896 of the family's 1533-position model. The record is from RNAcentral.
GAGGAAUAUUGGUCAAUGGGCGCAAGCCUGAACCAGCCAAGUAGCGUGCAGGAAGACGGCCCUAUGGGUUGUAAACUGCUUUUAUACGAGAAUAAUUUGAUGCACGUGUGCGUUAUUGCAUGUAUCGUAUGAAUAAGGACCGGCUAAUUCCGUGCCAGCAGCCGCGGUAAUACGGAAGGUCCAGGCGUUAUCCGGAUUUAUUGGGUUUAAAGGGAGUGUAGGCGGUUUGUUAAGCGUGUUGUGAAAUUUAGAUGCUCAACAUUUAACUUGCAGCGUGAACUGGCGAACUUGAGUGCACACAACGUAUGCGGAAUUCAUGGUGUAGCGGUGAAAUGCUUAGAUAUCAUGAAGAACUCCGAUUGCGAAGGCAGCUGACGGGAGCGCAACUGACGCUUAAGCUCGAAGGUGCGGGUAUCAAACAGGAUUAGAUACCCUGGUAGUCCGCACAGUAAACGAUGGAUGCCCGCUGUUGGUACCUAGUAUCAGCGGCUAAGCGAAAGCAUUAAGCAUCCCACCUGGGGAGUACGCCGGCAACGGUG